Molecule: long non-coding RNA, 3728 nt
Organism: Pezoporus occidentalis (night parrot)
Lineage: Eukaryota; Metazoa; Chordata; Aves; Psittaciformes; Psittacidae
Exons: 2
Source: RefSeq, a predicted model, not a curated record
CUUGAGUAAAUGUAACUUGUCAAGGGUACAAUUGCAGUCUGCAGUGUUGAACAUUGCCAUGUCCCCCACACACUGUAAGUAUUCUUCACUGAAAUUGUAAGUGCGUUUGUCUGCAGAACGAGCAGUAGCCCUCAAAGAGCUGACAGAUUUUGCCAGAUCAUAUUCUGGUGAUCACAUUUGAGGACAAACCGCAGUGUAAUACUGCCCGCAAGGAAAUGCUGAGUUCUGCAGUUACACACUGAACCCUGCAUCAGUAUCUAGUUCUCAGGCAGGUUAUCAUCUGUCAGACUGCAGGUGACAGGAAUGAGUGAUAUUUGCAAAACCCAAGUCCAAUAAGGCUGAAUUAUGUGAUCUGGGAUGGCUUGAGAAUGAAAGAAAAGCCAGGUCUGUUUCAGCAAUCUCUGCUUUGCCAGGACUGCAUGCUAAGUCCUACACCAUGCAUACUAAGUAUGUAUACAACCACAUGUAAGUAGCUGUCCAUAACCACUGGGGAUAUCCCAAGCAUCAGUCUCUGCUGGCAGUUCAAUAAAUGCAGCAUUGCCACAGCGGGUAGCAGGGCACCAGCUUUGCUCCGGCCCUGCAUGGUCUCAGGAUGUGCCAGGCUGGUGUUGUCUGAACUUCUCUUUGCCUGCCUGGAGCUUUGUUCUAGCUUGUUUGGCUGUUGCAAGUUCUCUCAUGACCAAUCGGCUGUUGCCUCACUUGUUCUCCCUUUGUUUCUGUAUAGUUUUAUAUAAUAACAACAGUUUUCUUCUUUUUUUCUGUAAUAAAUAGAGACUAAACAUUCUUUGAUCACACAGGUAAGACUUCAAGUAUACCAACAAUGAACUCGCCUUUGCUUACCAAGCGUGUUUAUUUCUGCCUUCAAUAAGGCAGGUGGGAUGUUUGUGCUUUACUCUCUGCUGUGGCAAUGGGCAGCACUAAGCAAGUGCCCACAGUUCUGCAGGGCAGGGUUCCAAGAUGUUAUGUGCUGUGGGAUGAAGAUGGGGCUUAUGAAAGCAGAAGGUACCAGAGCGGGUUUUGGUGGGCAGGGUAAGGAAACAUGGAUGUGUGAUCUCAGAGGGAACUGAAUGUUUCAGUGCUCGGUGUUCACAGCAAUCUGUGCUUCCCCAGCUGUGGUAUCCUGCUGCCCCUGGGUUAAGUAAGGGUGUGUUGUCACAACAGUCGCUGUGUCCAGCAACUGGCUUGGGUUUCCUUCUAAAAAUAGAGCCGAGGUUGGAUGUAGUGUGGGUGGCAGCAUCGGGAAUGCGUCAGCAAAGAUAGCAAAGCACAUCUGGGGAAGGUGCCAUGUAAGCACAGCAAGUCUAUUCUUAUCUGAUUGGUACCCUCCUCUGACAUGCUUUUCCCAUUAUCGCCUCUCCUGUUCUUUCCCUUCAUAGAAGGUUGUGACGUGUUCAGCUUACUUGAACCAGGUCCAGCCCCUCAUGCAUGAGGUGCCUAACAAACCAGUCCUGCUCCUUCUCCUCUGUUCUUUGAGCUCCCCAACCUCAUCCAGAAGAUGGAUAUGCCUCAUGGGUUGGGUUGCAGAAUAGCUCAGAGAUUUUCUUGAAUGAAGAAGAUGCUUAAUCCAUCAGGACAAAAACUGCUGACACCAACUGAAGCUGCCUUGACUUCACAGAUGAUGACUGGCCCAAGCAAGUACAGAGGGAAGCCGUGGGACAGAGUUCCCAAAACACUGGGGCUUUCUAAGUUCUCCUGCUGACGCUGAAUGAGAGAAUUAACAAUUGAGAAGUAACAGCAGCAUUUGACUGAGGGCUCAACUGAUACACCAUAGACCUGCAGUUGAACUACAGGGUUAAGCAGAAGCCACUAUUGUUUUACCAGAGCUACUUUUAGUCUCAGUGGUGUAAUGGGAAGAGUCUUUUGCCUUAGAAAAGGCUGCUCACUAAAUUCAGCUCCUGCUGGUUUCUCUAGGGACAGUUUCUGUAUAGCAGGUGUUGCUCAGUGAGGAACCGAGGAGCGCUUUGCUUUGGCUCGGAAGAGAACAGCAGAGCAGAAAGCAAGAUUUCUGUAUUUCAUAUAAUUAGUGUUGUCUUCUCUGCUUUGCCAUAGGGAAGUCCAUGACCUUCACCAUCAUUCAGCUCUCUUAAUGGCACUCGUAACUGUAUGCUAGAACGCCAUGACUGAAAACAGAGGAAUUUAGAGUAAGGAAGAGAAAGAACAGGCCAUGAGGAGUAUAUGCUAUUCCUACCAGCUGCAGAAGGGAGGUCCCCAGCUGCUUUUGAUGCCCUGUCUCCUGUAGAUUCCAGCUCUGCCUCCAUGAGAGUCUCUACAGCAUUGCCUGGGAGGUGCAGAAAGUCCUCAGUGACUUUUGGUAUCUUCCGGAAUCUCAUCCUGCUGCUGUUUUCCUUAGGAGUUUUUUGGGGUCACUGCAGUAGCUCUUUCUGUGCACACGCUGCACAGCACCUCUAACCUUCUGAAUGACACCACUGGAGGACAAACUACUUCUGCUUUCAAGCUAUUUUGUUGUUUGCUUUGUUUCAUUAAAUAAGUGCCAUGAUUGAUGUAUUUAAUCGUUAUUUUGGUUUGAGGAGGAGCACCUUUUGAAGGUAUUAAUUUUCUUGGGUUUCAAGGCAGUGCAUAUGAAUAGAGGACCAGCACUUAAGAGGCUGUUUAUUCAGUGGAUGCACCACAAUGAGUGCAAAGUACUGUCUUUCCCAAUAAUCUCUCCAUGAGAAGUGCAAGGAAUGAAGCAGGUAUGUUUUAAUCCCUUCAUGCCUCCAUAUGCUUUAAUUUCCAAGUGCUUUAGAGCCUUCUGAAUGAAAAGUUGCAUUGUCAGGCAUGAGCAGUCCUUGCAUGCAUCUGAUCCUUUUUUAACCUGCUGUACCUUUCACAAUCUCCUGUAGCAAUGAGGUUCACCAUAUAAUGACAUGUACAGUGAGUAAUCCCUUUGUUUUAAACCUGCUGCCUGAUAUUUUAUUAAGCAGCACGGCUAGGAACAGCAAUAGCUCCUCCAUUUGGUUUGGGGUCGGGGGGGCUGAUAACCAGGUUGUCAGGUCCUCUUCUGUUGCAAAAUACUAUGUAGCCCAUAGAGUUCACAUUCUCUUGGCCCUUAUGAGCAUGUAGAGAUUAUUUUACAGGUUAGCUAUAGAAGAAUCAUAGAAUCAUAGAAAUUGGGUCUGUGGAAAAGUCAUCAUAUAGUACCAGUGCUGACUGUGAUCAUCUGCUUAAUGGGCUGAUUGACUUUAGGACCUUUCUCUUGCAAUGUCUUUUCCUUAAUAGAUACACUGAGUUACACACUGUGUUUUUUCACUGUUGUAAAAGAAUACAGGCUUAGAUCAGCCGAACCUAUACUCAACAAUUUGCUUUGGCAGAACCAUAACACCAGACAAAUCUAAAUGCCCUGUUCUUACACCUGAACUGUGUAGUUACUGAGGAGAUUUAUGAAGCUUCUUCAGCUGGUUACUUGUACUUCAGUCAUCAGGAUACAGGGAUAAGGAAGUUUUAAUUUCAUCACUACUCAAAGGCAGUCCCUUGAUGCAUGAGUCAGCUUUGAGAAGGGCUAAAUUACAGGGUGAUGAGAGAAGCAUUGGCAUCACUUAAUCCCAAACAUUUAAUCUUGAAAGGUUUUGAUUUAGUUUUUAUUAAGCUUAAGAUCUGCAGAGCAAUUUUGAGGUGGUUCUAUUGUGAUUGAUUGAUUCAUUCAUUCAUUCAUUCACUGAAAACCACAGCAGAAUUACUAUUCUAAAUUACUGCUAAUUUUGCACAAAUAUAUGAGUGUUGUAAGUGGA